GGCUUUGUGGUGCAAUGGAUAGUGUGUUGAACUUCUAGAGGGUGAAAAGAUGCAAAGGUUCCAGGUUCAAGUCCUGGCAGAAUCA
RNAcentral lists this transfer RNA (85 nucleotides) under Alligator mississippiensis (American alligator). It matches the Rfam family "tRNA". Rfam says of the family: Transfer RNA (tRNA) molecules are approximately 80 nucleotides in length. Their secondary structure includes four short double-helical elements and three loops (D, anti-codon, and T loops). Lineage: Eukaryota; Metazoa; Chordata; Crocodylia; Alligatoridae. The record is from Rfam by way of RNAcentral.